This 3121-nucleotide ribosomal RNA is filed under the name Streptomyces sp. P17. RNAcentral's name for it is "23S ribosomal RNA". It matches the Rfam family "Bacterial large subunit ribosomal RNA". Lineage: Bacteria; Bacillati; Actinomycetota; Actinomycetes; Kitasatosporales; Streptomycetaceae. The record is from RNAcentral.
GGCCAAGUUUUUAAGGGCGCACGGUGGAUGCCUUGGCACCAGGAACCGAUGAAGGACGUGGGAGGCCACGAUAGUCCCCGGGGAGUCGUCAACCAGGCUUUGAUCCGGGGGUUUCCGAAUGGGGAAACCCGGCAGUCGUCAUGGGCUGUCACCCAUACCUGAACACAUAGGGUAUGUGGAGGGAACGCGGGGAAGUGAAACAUCUCAGUACCCGCAGGAAGAGAAAACAACCGUGAUUCCGGGAGUAGUGGCGAGCGAAACCGGAUGAGGCCAAACCGUAUGCGUGUGAGACCCGGCAGGGGUUGCGUAUACGGGGUUGUGGGAUCUCUCUUUCACAGUCUGCCGGCUGUGAGGCGAGUCAGAAACCGUUGAUGUAGGCGAAGGGCAUGCGAAAGGCCCGGCGUAGAGGGUAAGACCCCCGUAGUCGAAACAUCAGCGGCUUGCUUGAGAGACACCCAAGUAGCACGGGGCCCGAGAAAUCCCGUGUGAAUCUGGCGGGACCACCCGCUAAGCCUAAAUAUUCCCUGGUGACCGAUAGCGGAUAGUACCGUGAGGGAAUGGUGAAAAGUACCGCGGGAGCGGAGUGAAAUAGUACCUGAAACCGUGUGCCUACAAGCCGUGGGAGCGUCGGAUGGGAGCUUGCUUCCGUCUCGUGACUGCGUGCCUUUUGAAGAAUGAGCCUGCGAGUUUGCGGUGUGUUGCGAGGUUAACCCGUGUGGGGAAGCCGUAGCGAAAGCGAGUCCGAACAGGGCGGUUCAGUAGCGCGCUCAAGACCCGAAGCGGAGUGAUCUAGCCAUGGGCAGGUUGAAGCGGAGGUAAGACUUCGUGGAGGACCGAACCCACCAGGGUUGAAAACCUGGGGGAUGACCUGUGGUUAGGGGUGAAAGGCCAAUCAAACUCCGUGAUAGCUGGUUCUCCCCGAAAUGCAUUUAGGUGCAGCGUCGUGUGUUUCUUGCCGGAGGUAGAGCACUGGAUAGGCGAUGGGCCCUACCGGGUUACUGACCUUAGCCAAACUCCGAAUGCCGGUAAGUGAGAGCGCGGCAGUGAGACUGUGGGGGAUAAGCUCCAUGGUCGAGAGGGAAACAGCCCAGAGCAUCGACUAAGGCCCCUAAGCGUACGCUAAGUGGGAAAGGAUGUGGAGUCGCACAGACAACCAGGAGGUUGGCUUAGAAGCAGCCACCCUUGAAAGAGUGCGUAAUAGCUCACUGGUCUAGUGAUUCCGCGCCGACAAUGUAGCGGGGCUCAAGCGUACCGCCGAAGUCGUGUCAUUGCAGCAAUACGCCCAACGGCGGCUGUGAUGGGUAGGGGAGCGUCGUGUGCCGGGUGAAGCCGCGCCGGAAGGCAGUGGUGGACGGUUCACGAGUGAGAAUGCAGGCAUGAGUAGCGAUACACACGUGAGAAACGUGUGCGCCGAUUGACUAAGGGUUCCUGGGUCAAGCUGAUCUGCCCAGGGUAAGUCGGGACCUAAGGCGAGGCCGACAGGCGUAGUCGAUGGAUAACCGGUUGAUAUUCCGGUACCCGCUGUGAAGCGUCAGACAUUGAACCAGGCGAUGCUAAGUCCGUGAAGCCGCCCCGGAGCCUUCGGGCAAGGGGGAGUGGUGGAGCCGACGGACCAGACCUGUAGUAGGUGAGUGAUGGGGUGACGCAGGAAGGUAGUCCAUCCCGGGCGGUGGUUGUCCCGGGGUAAGGGUGUAGGCCGUGCGGUAGGUAAAUCCGUCGCACAUCAAGGCUGAGACCUGAUGCCGAGCCGAUUGUGGUGAAGUGGAUGAUCCUAUGCUGUCGAGAAAAGCCUCUAGCGAGUUUCAUGGCGGCCCGUACCCUAAACCGACUCAGGUGGUCAGGUAGAGAAUACCGAGGCGUUCGGGUGAACUAUGGUUAAGGAACUCGGCAAAAUGCCCCCGUAACUUCGGGAGAAGGGGGGCCACGCCUGGUGAGAGGACUUGCUCCUUGAGCUGGGGGUGGCCGCAGAGACCAGCGAGAAGCGACUGUUUACUAAAAACACAGGUCCGUGCGAAGCCGUAAGGCGAUGUAUACGGACUGACGCCUGCCCGGUGCUGGAACGUUAAGGGGACCGGUUAGUCAUGAUUCGUCAUGGCGAAGCUGAGAACUUAAGCGCCAGUAAACGGCGGUGGUAACUAUAACCAUCCUAAGGUAGCGAAAUUCCUUGUCGGGUAAGUUCCGACCUGCACGAAUGGCGUAACGACUUCUCGACUGUCUCAACCAUAGGCCCGGUGAAAUUGCACUACGAGUAAAGAUGCUCGUUUCGCGCAGCAGGACGGAAAGACCCCGGGACCUUUACUACAGUUUGAUAUUGGUGUUCGGUUCGGCUUGUGUAGGAUAGCUGGGAGACUGUGAACUCUGGACGCCAGUUCAGGGGGAGUCGUCGUUGAAAUACCAGUCUGGUCGUGCUGGAUGUCUAACCUGGGUCCGUGAUCCGGAUCAGGGACAGUGUCUGAUGGGUAGUUUAACUGGGGCGGUUGCCUCCUAAAGAGUAACGGAGGCGCCCAAAGGUUCCCUCAGCCUGGUUGGCAAUCAGGUGUUGAGUGUAAGUGCACAAGGGAGCUUGACUGUGAGACCGACGGGUCGAGCAGGGACGAAAGUCGGGACUAGUGAUCCGGCGGUGGCUUGUGGAAGCGCCGUCGCUCAACGGAUAAAAGGUACCCCGGGGAUAACAGGCUGAUCUUCCCCAAGAGUCCAUAUCGACGGGAUGGUUUGGCACCUCGAUGUCGGCUCGUCGCAUCCUGGGGCUGGAGUCGGUCCCAAGGGUUGGGCUGUUCGCCCAUUAAAGCGGUACGCGAGCUGGGUUUAGAACGUCGUGAGACAGUUCGGUCCCUAUCCGCUGUGCGCGUAGGAGUCUUGAGAAGGGCUGUCCCUAGUACGAGAGGACCGGGACGGACGAACCUCUGGUGUGCCAGUUGUCCUGCCAAGGGCAUGGCUGGUUGGCUACGUUCGGGAGGGAUAACCGCUGAAAGCAUCUAAGCGGGAAGCCUGCUUCGAGAUGAGGACUCCCACCAACUUGAUUGGUUAAGGCUCCCAGUAGACGACUGGGUUGAUAGGCCGGAUCUGGAAGCACCGCAAGGUGUGGAGGUGACCGGUACUAAUAGGCCGAGGGCUUGUCCUC